RNAcentral lists this long non-coding RNA (549 nucleotides) under Brassica rapa (field mustard). RNAcentral's name for it is "long non-coding RNA (BRAP_LNC007679)". The record is from RNAcentral. Lineage: Eukaryota; Viridiplantae; Streptophyta; Magnoliopsida; Brassicales; Brassicaceae.
AAGGGUUUAAUGUUUAGGAUUUAGGGUUUUAGUUUUUAGUGUUUUUGAUUUAGAUUUUAUGACUUAUCCAAGGGUUUAGAUUUUAAAAUUUAGGGAUUAGGAUUUACGGUUUAGUGUGUUGCUGAUGACGUUAAUAAUAUGUUUAAAAAUUUCUUUUUUUUUUUGUAACUACUCUUUUUUUUUACCUUUUUUUUUAAAUCAUAAAAUAACUUGACAAUAUUUUGUUUCCUUUUCUAAUAGAUAUCGACUUUGAAAUAAAGAAAUUCUAUUGGUUAGUGAACCUAAAGGUUCACUCUAGUGGUGAACCCAAGAAUAACUCGUCAUACGAUCAUUAACCAUUAUUGCUUUUUAGAAAUUAAUAGCUUAAUAAUAAGUUUAACAUUAUAUAUAUAACUUAUUAGUUAAAGUAUAAUCAGAAUAUUUAUAAAUAAAAAUUAAUUAUUUAGAUGUUAAUAUAUAAUAUAUCAAUGACAUUUAAUGAGGUCAAUGUUAAAAAUUAUUUUCUAACUCAUUUUUUGAAAUUACAUUAAAUUGGUUUUAAGGAUAAAU